UGGGAAAUGUGGUUGCCCAAUUAGUCCCUGUGCCAACAAAGAAAAACAGUGACCUAGUGGGAAACCAUAGCUCCCA
Molecule: microRNA precursor, 76 nt
Filed under: Ornithorhynchus anatinus (platypus)
Lineage: Eukaryota; Metazoa; Chordata; Mammalia; Monotremata; Ornithorhynchidae
Description: microRNA oan-mir-1361 precursor
Source: miRBase by way of RNAcentral